GGCUCUGUAGCUUAACUGGAUAGAGCACCUGACUACGGAUCAGGAGGUUGGGGGUUCGAAUCCCUUCAGAGUCACAA
This 77-nucleotide transfer RNA is filed under the name Flavobacteriales bacterium. RNAcentral's name for it is "tRNA-Arg". It matches the Rfam family "tRNA". From Rfam's summary of the family: Transfer RNA (tRNA) molecules are approximately 80 nucleotides in length. Lineage: Bacteria; Pseudomonadati; Bacteroidota; Flavobacteriia; Flavobacteriales. The record is from RNAcentral.